GGCACCAACGCCGUCUGAUCUGUGCGCCGCCGCCUUGGCUUCUCCGAUACGGCCGCCGCCGGUCGACUUGGAUAUACGGGGUAGAGCGAGCAGACCAGACAGCCGCCCACCUCGCUGCCGCCAACUUGUUUGACUUCCUCGUCAACUGGUUGGACGAUUUCUUCAUGGAUCAGGGCGAUCUCCAUCGCAGGAUCAGUAGAAGUGUUCUGAAGAUAAGAAUCGAUGACUUAUUUUUGCACGGUUAUGUUGCUGAUUGUGACGCACACUCCGCUACUGUAGUAGCCUGCUCGAAAAAUAUUCCGGUGUCAUUGGUGAAUUGCACGGUCACAUUGGUUUUCCCUGACGGAAGAAAAUUUUCCCCUAAUAAGCACGAUAUCAAAAUAUGGGAUAAUGUUGCUUCAAUACAAUGUUAUUUUCCUGGAGAUGUGCUUAAUACAAAUCUCGUGCAGUCACUUGAAGUAUGCAGGACACCACUUUUAAUGUCUGAAAACAUUUAUACCUAUAGUGCAUACGAAGGUGACUACACAGGCAUCAUAACCCCUGGUUAUCUCAUUUCAAUACACGAGAACUAUUUCCACCACAACAGUUGUGCAAAUAUAUAUUCAGGAGAUGGAGCAUUGGUCAUUAACAAAAAUGGAGAAUUGGUUGGACUGUGUUGUGACUUUAACCGUUACCUAAUUUCAAUGGAUGUGCCUGCAAUCUUAGAAGUGCUUGAGAAUCAGCAAUAGUCAGUCAAAGAUUUUUGUGGCCAUCUGAUCCGCAUCGGACGCAUGUGGGCCAAGCUUUGGGAAUUUUGCAAAAAGACGCCCGUCACUGCGUCCACAUUUACACUUAACCCCUUAGUCUCUCUCUCUCUCUCUCUCUCUCUCUCUCUCUCUCCAACCGCCCACCUGACCCAACCAUGGAAUCACCGAUCUGCCGCUCCGAUGCCGGCGCCGUUCACCGCCAGUGCCUCUCCUGCCACCUCCUCCGCCGCAUCACCUCGCCACGCACCACCGCCACCACCUCCCAUUCCUCCUCACCGUUUCCUCCGCCCGCUCCCGUCUGUGGUGGCGCUGCCACCCACUAUUUAUUCCCCUUCCCAGCUGAUGUGCGUCACAAGAAGGUCAAAUCCGAACCUCUCCUCGAGAAACUCCAUGCCGUCUGCUGCUGGAGAGCCACCAACGAUCUCCACACCCACCCUCCCCUCCCACCACACAAGUGUUGACAUUGUUCCUUCCCCACCGUCCUCGUCAUCCCUCAUUCAGCAUCGCCAUGACAGCUCGUCUCUCCAAGUUCAUCUACCUCUCCACACCCAACCCCCUUGUCCAUCCGGGAUCACGCCGCUGCUGUCUGCCUUGAAAGGCCACCGUGGCCGUUCUUUGCUCCCCCACCCUUUCCUCCGUCUGAGCACUGCUGUCACCACUCUUCUCCGUGGCGGCGUUUCCUUGAAGGUCGCCGUCCACAGACGAAGGUCGUCAUCCAUGGUCUCCGCCACCUCCAGGAAGGACAUUGCUGCUGUUUCUCUGCAAGCGUCCACUGAUCAGAGAGGAAUGUCAGCAAGGGGGUAGCAGCAGUUGGUAGGCUCAGCCUAGGACUUGGAAACUGUAAGUUCAUUGGUCCGAUACCAUGGUAUUAGAUAUCCUUCUGCUAGAAUAGCUUAUUAAAAUGAUUUGGCAUGACUUAUACUCCCUCUGUCCCAAAAUAUAAGAACGUUUUUAACACUACACUAGUGUCAAAAACGUUCUUAUAUUAUGGGAUAGAGGGAGUAUUUCUUUAGUUGUAUUAGUGGGCAACCAUCAUGGGCAGAGUAAGGUUGUUGGAAGUUACUGAUAUUUGUGUUGUUUGCCUGACGAGGUUUCGAGGGAGGAAUUGUUGUAUGAACCGUGUAUUUAUGUACUACAUUUGUUCUUUCUUAUUUAUGGACCCAAGUUUUCCUUUCAUUCACUGUUGGUGGUGAACUGGUGAUGGUGUGUUUGCCUCUGCAUUUCUAUGAGAUUUUAUUUUUGGUUUUCAGAAAACCAGUGAGUAGAACAAAACAGAUUCAACUAUCAGAGAGGUAGAAGUUCUGUUUACUUCUCCAAGGAGCGGUUUGCUUUUCUAACUGACCAAUAAACGUCAUGAGCCAAAUGCCUGGAGUAAUGAGUAUGAUGCCUCAGCUGGGAGUUUCGGUGAAUGAAAAUCUUGCUAUCUACUUGCUCCCGGAUCAUACAGUGGUAAUAAAUGGACUGUCCAUCGCGCUGUUCGCUGCGUCUGAAAUCCUUCCAUGCGAGUUGAUUGCCACCUCUUCACCCUUAUUCGUGUUUUUUUUACGUCUCCACAAGGUUCACCAUGUAGCCUAAUUGAGUCUCGGAGCAAUUAUAUUAUAUCUUAAUGAACUGCAGUUCAUGGUAGUAGUUGAUUAUAUGCACGAUAGGAAGCUCGGAUCCUAAAUUUAGUCGAUGAUGUUUCUAUAUACUACCUAUUUGUC
Long non-coding RNA from Triticum dicoccoides, 2449 nucleotides. RefSeq lists it as uncharacterized. NCBI's taxonomy places the organism in Eukaryota, Viridiplantae, Streptophyta, Magnoliopsida, Poales, Poaceae. The record is from RefSeq and is a predicted model, not a curated record. The transcript has 6 exons.